AUCCAGCUGACGAGUCCCGAAUAGGACGAGACUUGUGUCUGGAU
RNAcentral lists this non-coding RNA (44 nucleotides) under Schistosoma mansoni. Lineage: Eukaryota; Metazoa; Platyhelminthes; Trematoda; Strigeidida; Schistosomatidae. The record is from RNAcentral.